CAGCCGCCCGGUAAUACGUAGGGGGCGAGCGUUGUCCGGAAUUAUUGGGCGUAAAGCGCGCGCAGGCGGUCCCUUAAGUCUGAUGUGAAAGCCCACGGCUCAACCGUGGAGGGUCAUUGGAAACUGGGGGACUUGAGUGCAGAAGAGGAGAGCGGAAUUCCACGUGUAGCGGUGAAAUGCGUAGAGAUGUGGAGGAACACCAGUGGCGAAGGCGGCUCUCUGGUCUGUAACUGACGCUGAGGCGCGAAAGCGUGGGGAGCAAACAGGAUUAGAUACCCUGGUAGUCCACGCCGUAAACGAUGAGUGCUAAGUGUUAGAGGGGUUAAACCCUUUAGUGCUGUAGCUAACGCGUUAAGCACUCCGCCUGGGGAGUACGGCCGCAAGGCUGAAACUUAAAGGAAUUGGCGGG
RNAcentral lists this ribosomal RNA (409 nucleotides) under uncultured microorganism. RNAcentral describes it as "bacterial SSU rRNA". It matches the Rfam family "Bacterial small subunit ribosomal RNA", at positions 512 to 917 of the family's 1533-position model. The record is from RNAcentral.